This 779-nucleotide ribosomal RNA is filed under the name uncultured bacterium. RNAcentral describes it as "bacterial SSU rRNA". It matches the Rfam family "Bacterial small subunit ribosomal RNA", at positions 8 to 796 of the family's 1533-position model. The record is from RNAcentral.
AGAGUUUGAUCAUGGCUCAGGACGAACGCUGGCGGCGUGCUUAAUACAUGCAAGUCGAACGAGAUCCAUCCAGUGGCAACACUGGGGACGAUCUAGUGGCGAACGGGUGAGUAACACGUGAGGAACCUGCCCCGAAGACCGGGAUAACUCUCCGAAAGGAGUGCUAAUACCGGAUGCCCCCACCAGGCCGCAUGACCAGGUGAGGAAAUGGAUUCCGCUUCGGGAGGGCCUCGCGGCCUAUCAGCUUGUUGGUGAGGUAACGGCUCACCAAGGCAUCGACGGGUAGCUGGUCUGAGAGGACGAUCAGCCACACUGGGACUGAGACACGGCCCAGACUCCUACGGGAGGCAGCAGUAGGGAAUCUUGCGCAAUGGGCGAAAGCCUGACGCAGCAACGCCGCGUGGGGGAUGAAGGCUCUCGGGUUGUAAACCCCUUUCAGUGGGGACGAAAUUGACGGUACCCACAGAAGAAGCCCCGGCCAACUACGUGCCAGCAGCCGCGGUAACACGUAGGGGGCAAGCGUUGUCCGGAUUUAUUGGGCGUAAAGAGCUCGUAGGCGGUUCGGUAAGUCGGGUGUGAAACCUCCAGGCUCAACCUGGAGUCGCCACUCGAUACUGCUGUGACUAGAGUCCGGUAGGGGAGCGUGGAAUUCCUGGUGUAGCGGUGAAAUGCGCAGAUAUCAGGAGGAACACCAGCGGCGAAGGCGGCGCUCUGGGCCGGAACUGACGCUGAGGAGCGAAAGCGUGGGUAGCAAACAGGAUUAGAUACCCUAGUAGUCC